Molecule: long non-coding RNA, 546 nt
Organism: Vicia villosa (hairy vetch)
Lineage: Eukaryota; Viridiplantae; Streptophyta; Magnoliopsida; Fabales; Fabaceae
Exons: 3
Source: RefSeq, a predicted model, not a curated record
AUCUACUUUAUUAAUUUUAGAACCUAAUAACAUUAAAGAUUAAAGAGUAAAGACAUUAACAAAUUCAAAACACAAUCUGAUGCACCUUUCUCUUCCAAACCCAUCUCUCAAUCGCAUGUACCUUUAGAAACCCAUCUAUCAUUGCCUGCAAGAGUGCAAUCUCGUCGGAAACUUCUGGUCGUAAAAACAUGAUUCCUUCAUUUCUUCACCUAAAACCCUAUCGAUUAUUCAUUAGAUCAUCAACUCCGACCCCACUCCUUCUGCCGCAACGCUGUCUUCAUUGACCGGAACUAGAUAUAUCAGUUGCGUUUCGAAACUUCUCCUAAGGAAUCCGGUAAAAUCGAGAUUUACUUUGGAUUUAUCAUAGCUCAUGUUGCUGCUAGGGGAAUUGGUGCUGACAUAAAUUUCAAUCUGAAUGAUUUUGAGGAUGAUCUUAAACAGAGAGCUUCUGAUUGUGUUUUUGUCUCCGACUGGGACAUCUACUGCCGCUUCAAAUUCAAGGAAAGUUGCUAAUGGUUCUGCUUCGACGGUUUCAACGAAUUACUC